GGGAUGGAAAAGAAGGGAGGGGCAGAGUUGAGGAGGGCUCUGGGCGGGCUCUGCGGCUCUGACUGUGGGGGAGACAGAUUCCCUGGCCAGGCUGAGAGUCCAAGCUGCAGAGUCACCAGAGGUUAGAAUCUCUGGGGGUAAAAUUCUGAGGAUGAGCGUGGAGGUGGAGGCAGGAGGUUUGGGGACUCCAGGCUCUGCCCUUAGCCCUCAGCCUUGAGCAGUUCACACACACUAAUAGUGUCUUCUUUCCCUAAUCAUAGGGGAUGAAGCAAGCAUUCUUUUUUUUCUUUUUUUUUUUUUGCGGUACGCGGGCCUCUCACUGUUGUGGCCUCUCCCGUUGCGGAGCACAGGCUCCGGACGCGCAGGCUCAGCGGCCAUGGCUCACGGGCCCAGCCGCUCCGCGGCAUGUGGGAUCUUCCCGGACCGGGGCACAAACCCGUGUCUCCUGCAUCGGCAGGCGGACUCUCAACCACUGCGCCACCAGGGAAGCCCGAAGCAAGCAUUCUUGAUUUUUAAAAAGCUUCUAUGGUGGGUGAGAACACCCCUUGGGAGGGGGAUAUUUGGGCCCCAAUGUAAUAGACUUCAGCAGUGUCAGCCCCUCCUGGUGUGUGAGAAGGCAAGUUCUGAGGGGCUAGGACAGCUCUGCCACAGGCCAGUCCCUUAAACAGCCUGAGUUUCCCUAAACCGAGGGGAGCUGCACUGGCUGAUCACUCGGGCCCCUUCCUCCGUCUGGAGUUGCACUGGCUGAUCACUCGGGCCCCUUCCUCCGUCUGAUAUUUGUUUAAUAAUUUUCAAGUCCUUUACGAGAAUCAAAUGAGAUCACGCAUGCUGAGAAGCUUUGACAAAAUAUAAAGCAUGCUGUCAUUGUGAGGGGUUCAGGGGCUGCCUGGGGCCGGGGGAAAGGCGCUUAGAGGCGGGCCAUGGGCUGGGACCCCUGGAAGGGAAAGGCAGGCCCCUGCUGGGUUUAUGCCUCUGCCUUGCCACUGCCUUGCCCCUUCCCAGCCCAGCCCCAGGCUCUGGGGACUGAGCCCGGCUCAGGAUGGGGGUGGGGCUCCCAGGGGCAGGGGCAGAGGGGUGGGAGCCUCCCCUUUGAGUGGCUCCGAGCUGGAGCACAGCAAUUACGCAGGAGGAUUUAUGUCCUUUUGCCUUUAAUCGGAAACUCCGUGUCAAGAAGAAAAAUCUGCACUGUCCUCCGGCCCGGCUUCCUGCUUUAUCAUUAUUAUUGGAGGAAGGUUGAUCUGGAAACUUAAGGAAAAGUGGGGUUGGGGGUGGGAGCCACCAGGGAAAGGGAGGUGUGGGGCGGAGGGUGGCCUUCCUACUGUUUGUCCUGCUUCAUCACAAGAAGGGGACAAAGGGCAGCCCGGGGGUUGAGGGUCCUGGAGGGCAGGUGAGAAGACACAAGAGGCUCACUAGGGGAAGUGUAGGGGCUGGGGAUCAUGGGAGGAAGGGGCAUCUGGGGAGCAAGGGAGACACCAGGAGGGAGGGAAAGGAUGGGUGACCACAGGGAGACACCAGGAAUUAAAGGGACUUGGGAAAGAGGACGAAGAGAACUAGGGCUCAUGGUGGAGGGAAGGGGCGGCUGGGUGCUGGAGGGACACUGGGGUGGGGGGUGCAGGGGGUGGAAUAACCGGAAGGGGGAGCAGUGGCUCUAAGGGGGAUGCUGUGGGAGAGGGAGAGUGUAGGGUAACCAGAGGGGACACAGGGUGGAAGGCAGAGGAGGGCUGGGAGUCACGGAGAAAAGAGGCAUCUAGGGCCUGGGAUGUGCAGGGGCUGGGGCUGAUGGGGGGGCUGGGCUAGGGACUCCGGGUCUGUGGCCAUCUCCGUCUGUACCUGCUGACCUGCCCCCAAGAAGGCUGUUCCUCCCCUGGCCCACCCAGGACCCGUGUCUCCUGGUCUCCUGGGUGGAGGGCGCUGGCCUCCCACAAAGCCCCUGGUUUCCCCUUCCACUUUGGGAGCAGUUUCUCCAGGAGAUGGGGUAUAGUGCUUGGGAAUACUCAGCAGGAAUCCUUGGGCCCUGGGGAGACUGGACUAGAAGUGUUAGAAGGCGAAAGGCCUGCACCCUGGGGAAGGGGAGGGACCCAGGAGAAAAGGCCUCCUAACACCCCCAACGUCCUUGUUUGGAAGUCCCCCUAGUGUCUUAGCUGUUAUCCCUCCUGUUGCCGGGAUUUCAUUCUCAUGUGUGGAAAGGGCACCAGCCCUGGGAUCGGUUCCUGGGAACUGACUCCCUGUGUGCACUUCUGUGAAUCUCAGGGUUCGCACCCACAGCGUGCAAUAUCUACGCGGCAGGCCGUGGUCAGGCUUAGAGAUGGUUAGGUGAAGGAUCCAGCAUGUAGUAGCCACCUGGGGGGCAAUGCCCAAUAUAUGCAACCUCCUUCCUUUACAAAGGACAGAUUAAUUCUCUGUGAGUUUCCUCAACGAGCCUGGGUGGGUAUCGUUAUCCUCCUAGAGAUGGGAACCGUGGCACAGAGCCGCUGAGUGACGUGCCCAAGGCCACACAGCACAUCACUGGAGCAGCCAGGUGAGACGGCCCCAUAAUACCUCCUGAGGGCCUUGAAGAUCUUCCUCUGGGUCUCCUCCCUCCCUCCUUCCCCUGAGGGCCUCACACUUGGCCCCUCGGCCCUGGGAUCUGGGGUCGUUUGGGAUGCUCAGUGGAGUGUCUUGGCUUCCAAUCCUCCUGCAGUCUGGGCCGUGCCCACCCUCGCUCGCCUCCACCCUGGCUCAACUGAGAGGUUUUAUAGCCGUUUACGAGCAAUUUCUGUCCAUAUAUCACUGGAGAUAUAUAGCCGGGCAAAUAUUAGGGACCCAAGCAGAGGUUUUAAGAGGUGAGUUUUACUGCCGCUGAAAGAAGGCGUGAUAGGCAGCCUGUGGAGACCCACCUCCCUCUCGCUCACUUGGCGGCGGCUGGGCGGUGGCAGCAUGGACUGGGGUUCGGCCAGGAAAACUGUCUGUGAGCACGCGGGGGUGCCAGCCUGAGGGGAGUGAUCAAAGAGUGGGGCUCUGAUCCUCAGAGAGCUGUGUGAGUGGGAGGAGGUGGGGUCACAAAGCAGGCCAGAGGUCACGGGCUGGCUUGGACAGAACACCCUCUCCAAACCCGAGCGAGAAGCCACUGAGCUCCUGCGGAUUCGCUCCACAGAAACACAGACCGAAGUGAGACACCAGGGAAGCACUGCCCCGCACGGGCCACUGGAAGAGGCUGCCGUGUUGCCUUUUGCGGGAAGUCCUUAAAAUCUGGAUCUGAACGAGGAAACCGCUGGCCAGAGGCAGAGGGCUGGACACGUGGCCUCUUACCCUCUCGGACCCUGCGCAGGUGAUGCUGGAGGAAGGCCUGCAGGAGGCCGGCCUUGACCUCCUCUGCUCUGGGCCCGGGCCUAUGUGGGCCGCUGGGUUUGGGUGAGCGCAGAAGGGUGAGGAGAGCCUUCUUGGCUUGUGGCAUAUGGUGAGAAGAUGUCCCCGGGAAUCCUCGCUGCUGAUUUAAGCAGCUCCGACAGCUUUAUGGCGCCUCCUCGAGUGAGCCCCCAACGCUGGCCGUUUAACUUUUUAGCGUUGUUUAACGCUUAGGCUCCGGCGGACAGGCAGGCCCCUCGGCCCCAGAGGCAGCAGUACUAAAUCAGGACACUCAUAGGCCCCGAUAAAUAAUUUUUACAGGGCACGCAGCCCAUAGAUCACCAGUGGGGGUGGGGGGAGAGCGGCUGUGAUAUUUCAAGCAAUUGUCACAUAUGACUACCCUGUGCUCUGAUCCAGGUCAUGCACAUGGCAGCCAGCUUCAUAACCAAAGUCAGCUCCAGGGCCCCCCAGCCGGGGCAUGGGCGGGGCUGCGGGAGCUGAUGGCUCCGAUUACCCUACAGCCAGCGGAUGACCCGCGGACUCAUCGUCUGCUCAACCUGCCCUAGUGUGCCGAGCGUGGGCCCCCAUCCGAGCUGCCUCUGGCACUGGGAGAAGGAAGGGCUGAGGGCCGGGUGGGAAUGACUCUUUCCCAAAAAGUCAUUUUUCAGACCACCUUCCUGGUUCCCCCAUCUGACUCCAAACCUGAGGGUCCCAGGAGAGAGCAGGCAGCAAUGCCUGCAGCAGAGGGAGGGUAGAGCUAAGCAGAGCUAAGGGCUGGAGGGAACAGGAACUGUGUGUCAGCUGCACGCCAUUCACACCUCUAGUGAAAGAGGCGGGUGGGGAGUAGAAGGAGAGGCACGAGCAGUGCGAGGAAGAAGGCCAGGGAAGGAUAGGGACAGAAAAAUGAAGACGGAAAGACACGUGAAGACUCAGAGAGAAAGUGAGAGAGACAGAGGCAAGGGGAGACAGACAGAAACUCACCCAGAGAGGAUGCUGCAACGGGCAGGGACUUUUCCUAAAGCUGGGUACAAAGCCAGAGAGACCUGGGGAGGACGGCGUCGGUGCCAGGUGGGCCCGCCCGUGCCCUGGGAGGGCACCUCCAGCUGGCUCCGGGCCUGUUUCCCAGCGCCAGCUCCACGCUGCUCCCUCCUCCCCCUCCCCCCAGUGCCCUUGCCCUGUCCCCUCAUCUGUAAGAUCCUGGGAUAUGCAGGGACACUUAAUCCAUAUGGAGCUGAUUCAUUCCCAUCUAAAUCAUCUCCACGAGCUUCCCUAAGAGCCCUCUGAUGUGCCAGCCGCCGUCCCUCUCCCCCGGCGAUGGCGGGCUGGGGGCUGCCAGUAAACAAAACUCAGCAGCCAUCCAUCCUGGCGUCGUCCGCCCGUCCAGCCAAGACCAUCCAUCUCUCCAGCCCUGCUCCCCACGCCCGCUUCACUCCUCCUGUCUGUCUGUCCCUCUGUGUGUCCCCUCCUCCUCAUGCCCCUCAACUGGAACCUCCACCUCUCUGCCUCGUCCUGGGUAGGCUCUUGAGGGGUCAUGUCGGCCACGCCCCUGCCUGCAGACAGGAUACCUCACCCCUGGCGCAGCAAGGCAGAGGCUCUCCUGGUUCACCGCCUUCCAAGAGGAAAGGUCUUCUGAUGAUCUUACUGUGCAACGUUGACAACCCAUGCUCAAGGAAGUUCUUUCUUCUGUCUAGCUCGCAUGUCUGAGGUCCACAUAGGAUCACAUGUCUGAGCGGGGGUGAAGGUAAGAUUAUGGGGUUCUGUACAAACGUGAGGGUCUCCAGGAUUUGUAAUACGUACUUCCCUGGGUCUCUAGCAGCAAGAGUCAGGCCCGUGCCGAGCAUAUAGUGGAUGCUCCGUGUCAGUUGCUUACUGGCCAUGAUCUUCCCUGUCAGCUCCAGUGAGUCCAGAGGCCUCACAUAUACCCCAGGGAGGUUUUCAGUGAACUGAUCCAGUGGGUUUCAUACAGGGCCCAGAUCGUGGCACUCUAGCCUGGCAGGGUUGGCAGGAGACACGAAGGAAGUGUCUCUCACUUCUGCCUUCCCACCCAGACUCCUCAGCCCUGUCCUGGGGGUGGCGCUUGCCCAGACAGCUCUGUCUUGGCAGUGAUGGGCUGAAGAGGAGGAGAGUAAGCAAGCAGGUGCUGCGUAUCUUCUAUGGCACCAAAGCAGAACCCUCACAUUUGGGGAAAGCCCUUAGGUCUACACGGACUAAUAAGGAGAGAGCGGGGGGAAUUGCUGCCCCUGGCCCCAGUCUCAGGCAUGGUGGCCCUUCCCCCAUCAGGUUCUUCAUGUCAGCCUGGGAAGGGUAAUUCUGGGAACGGGCUGGGGCUCUGCUAGCCUCUCAUGAGAGGAGACGGGAGCAUUUCUUCUGGUCCCAUCUCAGUUUCUCCGUCCACAGCAGCAGUGGGAGUGGGGGAACAGGGCUGUCUCUGGAGUAGAGUUGGGGUCAGACUCUAGCAGCCCUGCAGGGGGAUGAUUUGGGCAUGGGUGAAAGGGUUUAGGGUGGUGGAAGUGGAGCCACAGGGAGGGAUGAGGGCAGCAUUUGUGGACCCCACAGUAACAGUGAGUGGGAGAGGCAGAGGAGAAGGAGACGGGGAGGCCGAGUCUUCAGAUGGCCUGAGGGGGCUGGUACUCCAGCACCUCCCUGAGACCCAGGACACCUUGCUGAGCAUCUGACCUCCCCAUCAGGCCAGACCAGACCAGGUAGAGAGUCCCACCGCAUGGGUGCCCCCUCCUGCACUCUAUUUCGCAGCGCCUUUCCCCCUUGUCAUUGGUCCCCUCCAGGGAGCCACUGUGAGUGCACAGAACAGGUGGGGCUCUCCCAGCUGCUAUCCAGCUGUGAAGAACCCUGACCAUACCCCCCCACCCCCCUGCAGGAGAGAAGGUUCUAAUUCUAGCCGGAAAGAUGAGAAGGAUGGUACGGGGAGAGCGUCCAGAGGGAUGCGUGGAAGCUAACCACUUGCCCCAGUUGUGUGAACAUAUGUGUGGGAGGGGAGGGGCCUGCAGGUGGCAAGGCCCAGCUUAAGAAUGAUGGAGUGUUGCUUAGUUCUCUGAGCUAGAGACAUAUGGGCUAUACAAGACCAAGCAAAAUGAGAAAUUAUUGCUUAAGAGAGAGAGGACAUGGGGGGAUAAGAAAAAAUUCAAGCCAGGGAGACCCAGUGCCGCUUGCCCCCUCGCCAUCAUGACCUGACCCAUCUGUGCGUGACUGGAUCAAAGUCCAAGGGGAGGGAGAGGUCUGAGAACUGACCCUCAGGGCCUCCGGUGGGGGAGAAGCUGAUCCUCCGAACAUGCAUUUCCCCGAUGUUACACAGAGCGCGGGGAGCUGGGAACAGCCGCCCCAAUUCUCCAGGUGGGACAGUGGGUGGAGCUUUCCCCAUCCUCCUCUGUGCUUCUUGUGCCCGCCUCUCUGUCCACCCCUCCCCUCUCUCCAGUCCAAUGGGGAACCAGUUCUCUCUUCUCCCGCUGGCCUGUCUCUCAUGGUUCUCCCCGGCACUGAGCCUUCCUCAUCCACUCAGUGGCUCCCACACUCUCUUGUCUCCUCUGAAUGUCCCCUUCCUGCACCAAGCCUCCUAGGCUUUGUCUGUCCCCACGAAGGCCCCUCCCCCUAAGGCAAGUUCACUUACCCAACCUUGUGGCUGAUGCAAGUCCUUUAGGGUCCACUGUGGGCUGGUGCCUUGGUCCAGCUCCAGGGCUGGAGUUUCUCUGGUCCGUCUGGCCUCUAUCACUCAACAUCCACGUGUCUGGUUUAGACUGUGACCUCCACAGGGCUGGCAAGGAUCCAAGUGUUUCUGUGGUCACCAGCACAGCUCUGGGAGCAACCUGAUUUUUGAUAGAGUUGACAGCUUUUCUUUUGAUUCCAUGAGGCAGAAGCAGCUAGAAGGAUGCUGAGAGGUCUUAGAGGACCACUGAGUGUGACUAAGGCACUUCCUCCAGGGAAGCCACCUCCUGCUACAACAAGCAGUGACUGAGGCUGGACAGCAAGAACUUCUGAAGACUCUUAAGGUGGAAGGAAAGAUUCCCAGGGUUUCUGUGAAGACGUUGGGGAGGGAUGGCCUUAACCUUUUCAAGCUCGGAGGGAGCAGAGGGGUCUGUGAAUCUGGAGACGUUUACUUCCACCCUUGUAGGAUUGAUCCAAAAGAGGGAUGGCCACUUCCUCUUUUUUUUUAAAUUUAUUUAUUUAUUUUAUUUAUUUAUUUUUGGCUGCACUGGGUCUUCGUUGCUGCAUGUGGGCUUUCUCUAGUUGUGGUGAGCGGGGUCUACUCUUCAUUGCGGUGCACGGGCUUCUCACUGCGGUGGCUUCUCUUGUUGUGGAGCACGGGCUCUAGGCACGCAGGCUUCAGUAGUUGUGGCUCGUGGGCUCUAGAGCGCAGGCUCAGUAGCUGUGACACCCGGGCUUAGUUGCUCUGCGGCAUGUGGGAUCUUCCUGGACCAGGGAUCGAACCUGUGUCCCCUGCAUUGGCAGGCGGAUUCUUAACCACUGUGCCACCAGGGAAGCCCGCCACUUCCUCUUUAGGAGCCCUGACUCAUCAUUCUCAGUGCAAAUCCCAUUCACAAUUUCUUUGAUAAUUGUUUGUUCCUUGGCCAGAAAUCUGGUUCUUGAAUUCCCUCUCCUGUUCUUUUCCAUGAUCUGGGAACCAUCUUUGCGAACCAACCCCAUCUCCGUUUUAUGGAGCCAGAAGAACAGAGAGGUAGAGCCCUGUCUAGGCAGCGACAGAGCAAGCCUACAGGAGCCGGGAAUGCCUCCUUACGUGAAUGCCCUCUUCUUGUCUUUGGAUGCGAAGGGAAAGGAUGUGAUCCCCGAGGGAAAGGGCAGGGUUGUCCAGAGCAGGGUGUGUUAUCAACUAGAAGAGCACCCGCACCCAGCCACCUCGAUCUAAAUGUUCACACAAUGGAAAUAUCUUCACAGCCAAGGGCCCCUCCCUCCCAAAGAGAAAAUCCCACAAGUGGGGAACAUCUGGAUCAAACCGCAACCAUGAAAGCACAACAUCAAACGAGGGUUUCAGAGGGACCCUCCCCGCAGGCCCUGCUCCAAGAGAAAUUGCAGAUCUUCCUGCUUGAAGCUUUUAAGUGUCACAGAACCACUCAAGUUUGGGAUCUCUCCUUAUUCACCAGAGACAGAUGUCCCCAAACUGUCAGCUUUGAAGGCAUGGACUCCCUCAUUGUAACUGGGUUUCUAGUGCCCCACACAGUGCCUGGCAGAGAGUAGCUGCUCGGUGAUGAAGCCCCGCUCCAGCUUCCAGCUGGAGCGCGUUCUCCCGCCGCCAGCGUUCUGGGAAACAAAACAACCCACGCGAUGAUUCCUCUGCAGCCUCGAGGCCUCUGAGGGGCUACAAGGGCAUCUCCUAGCUGACCUCCUCUGGGAGUCUUCUGGGGGGACCCUAGUUGACAGCACUCUCUCCCACCUCUGAAAUGUAUUGUCCACAAGAUUCACGCGGGAUUUCCCUGCUGGUCCAGCGGUUAAGGCUUUGCAAUUUCAGUGCCUCCUCUUCAGUGGGAACGAGUUCGAUCCCUGGUCGGGGAACUAAUAUCCCCCAUGUGGUGCGUGGGGGCGGCCAAAACGAACAAAGAAACAAACGAAAGCAAACAAAAAAAGGUCUCACUACACCUUCAUGGUAAGGGCUAUUAUUGUUAUUUACUAAUCUGGGAUGGAUGUGUCUUUCUUGGUUGAGUGAGACCCGAGGCUCUUGGGGACCGCAGUGCCCAGCAUGGAGUCUCCUCAGGACAGGCUGGCUGUUGACUAGCUAACGCCUCCAAGUCCUAGUGUGUAAGCUUUUGAUGUGGUGGCUCCUCUGGGGCUCUGAUGGCUGAGCGUCGGGAACUGCUGAGUCGGGAUGUCUUGGCGUAAUCGGGGGAAUUGGACACACACGCGAAGGAGCCCGGUCCCAGUGAGGUGAGGCCUGAAUGACCCUGCAGGUCGAGAGAAUGCUUGAGCGGGAAUGUUGCGAAAAUGACCAAGGUCGGUGGGCUCUAUUCAGAAAAACUCUUUGGGCAAGGAACGUAUGAAAGAGGUUGGAAGGAGAGAAGGGCAGGGCCGGCAGAGGUUGCAGGAGGAUAUCCGGGUGGGAUAGGCUUGGCCGUGGGUGAGGAGGCUAAGGCGGCUCUGCCUGCAGGUGAGGGCCCAGGAGGGAGGGGCUUGGGCAAUUGUAAACAUUCCCUCUACACUGUGAGGACUGUGACCACGGCUCCACAACCCGCUCCCAUCCCUCCCCAAACUCUAGGCCAGGAGGGAUCCUACCUCUCACCGCCAUUUCUAGGCCCAGGCUGACCUGUGCUCCCGCGACAUCACCUGACACCGAGCUCGGGGUGGAUCAGCUUUGCUCUGUACCCUCGCGGUCCUCCCUGGGGCUGGAGCUGCCUUUGAAGUUGAUGGAGAGAAGAUUGGUGAGCUGUCGCCUGAGCCUAGAUCUCCCAGACAUCCGUGAGGGGAGGGGAUCUCCACUUUGAGCCCUUUUUCGGGGGGCUGAGGUGUUGACACUUUAGUUGUCAGAACUGACGUUUCUCAUCUGUGAAUGCGGCGCGAAGCUGACCGAAUUGCCAGCAUCUCUGGGCUGCUGGGUGGCAGCACUGCUCAGCUCCAGGGACCAACCACUCACCGCACUCCUGGAGCACAACUCCAGGUGGAGCCAUUCACAUAGAAUUUGACGUGCACGGUCGCCGCAUUCCCCGCCGCCCAAGGUCGCGCGGUGAUGGUGGGCCACCAUCGUGCCCUUUUUGAGUCAGGGUUCUGUUUACCAGUCUAAGCUAGUUAACCUGAGGACCAGGAAUAUUCAUGAGGCUUUGCCCGAGGACAGAGAGACAGACAAAAUAGUCUCCAAAGUCAUGUCCUCAUGAGACGUGGGCACCGGGAAACCAGAGUGUCUCCCAGACAACAGGUCCACAAAGCAGGGUGCAGUCUGAGGCCAAGUAGCAGGGAAAAGAAAUGACAAACUCCAUCCAUCGGGGAAGGAAAACUGUCUUUCACCCCCGGAUUGAAAAGAAUAACCCACGUGUAAAGACCCAGUGACACUUAGUAGGUCUGCAGUUACCAUGAGGUGAACCAGAAUCAGUGCUCACAUUCCAGCCUCUAGGUUCGGGGUUCUUGGAAGCAGAAAGGCCUAGCCACCCUGGUGACACUUGUGCAUGGGAAUUUGCUGAAAUCUGAAAUGAGAUCCUGACCCAGAUGGGGGUCAGGAAUUUGUUUCCUUCCCUUUUUCUCCUUCUUAGUUCACUGUUUAGGAUGAAAAAUGACAACCAGAUGAGCAAAAGAAUGAUUAUCAGGAAUGAUAAAUAAUACACUCCAGAUGUGGCCGGAGAGAAAUGCAACUGAAAGCACCACCGCCUCCAAGUAGUCACGUUGGGGCGACCCCCUUCUCCCAACAAGGCCACGAUGACAAAAGUUCUGUAACUCUUCUUUGGGAAUUGUCUUCAGGAAGUGGAGGGGAUGAGGUCAAAACGCACCCACACAGCAACCUGUUUCUAACAACGAUCGGUUAACCUACAUGAAGAACUCUCCAGUUGCAGAAGUUUCCUGGACGUUUGCUUUCCUGAGGAAAGACCUGGAAGAAGGGACUGCUGGCCUGCUUUUGAAUCUCGAUCCUCUCCCCUCCUGCCUCACCCGUGGACGCUGCCCUCGUCGUCAAGUAACAAGCUGGAUUCGAAAGGUGGGGAGGAAGGAAGGAGGAGGAUGUGGCGGUUUAGCAGUGGGGAUGAGCCUGGGUGUAGAAGGGUCCCCUGCAGGUCAUAAAUGUUCUCUUGGAGGGUGGGGAGUCCCGGCCCAAGAUUCCUGAUCAUCUCCAUCCUCCAACCCAGAAGGAAGAGAAGGCUAGACUCAAGGAAGAACUUACUCAUUUUCAGUAGCAGAAACAGCAGCUCCUUCUCCAGAGCUCUGUGAUAGGGCAAGGCCAAUUUCUAUUGACAACAACGUUGCUCAGAGGCCUUGAAAUGGAAUUGCGGGGAGUGAGGGGACUGUUUCCUCAGGUGCCCUGUUGGUGGGGACAUUGUCACUUGUUGUCCUGGCACAAGGACUCCCGAAAGUGUGCAGUCACGCGCGCUGACCUAGCCACUCAGAGCCUAACUGACAAGCGUCUGCAGACACAGGAGUGUGCUCCGAGGAGCCUCUGGGGACGGGGCUCUGGGGUCCUCGUGGGUGGAACAAGCCCCCCCGAAGAACAAGCCAGGACACCAUUCAAAGAGGGGAGCUCUGGGGACCCUCCCCGCCGUCCACCACCUCCUCUCUCAUGAGCGAACCCCAGCGUUAGGGCACGUUGGAUCCACCCAGCACCACCCCUCACUGGCCGGGAGAACACAGACUUCCCUUGGGGCCCAGGACUGGAAGAAAUAGGAGUGCAUAUUUACACUGGGUUGUGAGGGACACAAAGAUAAAAGGACCCAGAGAUCAAAGAGCCCCCAGAAGCUCGGUGUGCAGACCUCUGGGUCUAGGAUUUGUUCUGUAAGCAGAUUUCCUUCUCCUUUGGGGAAAACUCACAUGGAGGGAUCCCUCCCUUAGGGCUUGUGGUGGUUCCACUCUGGGAGCAAGGGGACAGCCUGAGGUGGGCCUCGUUGGGACACAGGCCUGCCUCCUGCUGGGGCACAUCUCUGACUGCCCAAGCCGUGCAGAACUGCACAGAAGAAAGGGAAAGGAAAGUUGUGUACAUGCCGCGGUGGGUGAAAGGCAGAACAAGCCCAGAUCAUCCAUUGACAUUUGUGCUUCCAUGUGGCUCCCAGGUCGAGAGGGUUCAGACCUUCCACGACUCAGGGCGCUGGGUUAAGGAGGGUGCGUGGAGAUCCUGAGCUGGGCACUUCCGGGCCACGGAGAACAAAGGAGCCGGGGGUACAGGCAAACCUCCAUCAGAGAGGUCGUGUGUGUGUGUGUGUGUGUGUGUGUGUGUGUGUGUGUGUGUGUGUGUGUGUGUGUGUGUGUGUGUGUGUGUGUGAGCCUGUGGGUCAGCAUCCAUCCGUAGGGAGCGGGGAGGGAAAGAAAUGGUGAAGAGAAUAGGAGAAAGAGAAGAAAUAAAAAUGAAGGCACUGAAACAGAGAGAGCAAGCUAACAGACCCACACAAAGAGAGGCAGAGAAACACUGCAGGAGCCUGGGGACCAGGCAGCAGGAGGCGGGGAGGGGAGAGCCUCGGGAGGGUCAGCAGCGAAAACAAUCGGCCAGGCUUCUGCCCGGGAAGGUGGGCAGGAAGGCAGGGAGGGGAAUGGGUGGCAGAGAAAGCCCCCCCUUGCCGGGCAGGGCAGAGGAGCUGGAACCCGAGUCUCCCAGCUCCCAAGCAAUCAGCCUUCUCCCCCUGCCCUCGCCCUGAGCCCAGGGCUGAGAUUGACGGGACUGCAGCUUCUCUGGGUCUGGGUGGAUUUGAAUAAUUAAGUCAUCUGGAUUCUUAUGAUUUACCAUUUUCAGUGAUAAAUAGACAGUGCCCAAGCCAGCCAGUUGGCAAAACUCUGGCUGCUAGUUAUAAUUUGUCAAGCUGCCAGUAGAUUCAUGUUUCAUGCUAAUGGAGAGAGACUCAUUGACUGGGGGAGGCGGUGACCCGGUCAGCUCUUUCCUCAGGCACCCCAGAGGUCGAGAGGUCGGGGGGAGAAAGGCCGGGCCGCUAUGGAUUUGCUGUAAGGGUCAGUGUAAUUUUAUAAUAAUUCAGCGGGUACACACGCUCUCGAAUACACAGAGAGUCAUGUAUGCGGAGAUAUGUUCGGAUCUGUGCACCUCCCCCGCCCAUGCACCUGCUCCAGUGCAGGCGUCUGGGCCCAGUGCACACAAGCCUGGUGCUGAAACACUUGUCCAGCCCCCCUCAGCUCACUUGCACAUGCACACCCUGCUGUCCCCUUCAGGCAUGUGAUUACACCAAGGCAAACCUGCAGACCUGCUCAGACACCCAGAGAAACAUAUCUCCCCUCACCGACAAUGCACACCUCAAAGAUGGGAAGAUACCUCUGGGGGACCCCUCUGACCACCACCCCAACCCCUUUAUUUCAGGGCUUUCGUGUCUGCCGUUCCCACUGCACAACUCUUGCUCCCUUUCUAACAGUCUUCCAGUGGGGGAGACAAAUGAGCCCUGGGGCCGUCCUAUUUUCCAACCGGCUGGGUCUGGGUAGCCGGAGUUGGGAAAGCACGGGCUCGGAGACAGAGCAUAUGGAAGGCGGCAAUCAAAAUCCAAACUUUCUUUUCCAUCAGUUCAUUUAUUUAUGUAUUUGUCCACAUGCACUAAAGCCUCACAGUGGCAAGGAUCUCAUGACUGACCGUCAUGAGAAACAGAGGUAGGGACAAGGCUUCGCACAUAGUAGGUACUAAAUAAAUAGCAGUGGCAGGAACAGCUGCAGCUACUGACUGAUUUCUCGACAGAACAAACUACUCAUUUCCCUUCUCUUCCUCCGCCUCAACAAACCUUUAUCAUCAGGGAAGGCCAGAGAAGAGGUGUGGGUCUGGGUGAAGCCCUCCUAUUCCUUGACUUGAGAAAUCUGGGCCUUUGGCGUGAUAAAAAAUGCUAAUUUUAUACCAACAGAAGCCAUCCGGUCUCAAUUUUGACCCCCAAAUGCCCUUAAAAUGGAUCAAUGAGCAAGGGAGGACCGAGGAAGGAGCAUCUGUCCUCCCUCGUGCCCAGAAGAGAAUGUGAAUUUGCUUUGAGUGAGUAGCUUGUGAGCAGGGCCAGAAGCCGCAGCUCGUUACCGUCGGCGGCUUUAAGGUUUGGCGGGGGCGUGCGGAAGGAUCAGGGGCCCGAGGAGAAACAUUGCCUUUCCCUGUCCCCCAAAGCCCCUAAAGGAGAGAGAAAAACACAAUAGCGAGCCGAACAGAGCAGAGACCGAGGCAGCAAGGAGAACCCCCAAAGACAGAAGCUGCUUCCAGCGUCAGGCUCAGGCUCGAGGAUGCAGUCGCAGCUGUUGGCUCUGCCCGUGGAGAUUCAAGAUUCCGGAUCCUGCGAAGUGAAUUGGGUUCCCUCCUUCCCAGCGGGGCCAGGCUGGGGUCAAGGAGGCUGCUCUGGGCAGACAGUCUGGAACCCCUCCACCAAGGCCUGGAAUAAGAGGCCUCCCUUCUUUGCCGAGCAGAGGUGGAUGGCGGCGGCAGGCCCAGCUAAUCAGAGGCAUUCCUUGGAGAGACGGCCAAGAGCCAGAAUCGACCAGCUUCUCCAUUCAAGGGAAAGAGGACCCCUAAAUGCAUCGGGAAUAGGGAAACAGGCUUUGCUUAUUUAAUAGUUUGAGGCUUUGACCUGGUUUCACUGACGUCAUCCCACCUGCACCAAGGUGAGCUCCUGCAGGCCCUCACUCACCCCGGGAGAGCAACAGCCUUGGGGGCACCAGCAACUCCACCCCUAUGGGCAGGGGCAGGCCGACUGUGGCCUGCAGAUGGGUGAGGUGGGGAAGGAUUUUCUGGGGCAAGCCACGGGGACGUGAGGGCAGUAAUCAUGAUUGAUACAGAAAGUGUGUCGCUUCAUCCCGCAGUUGAUCAGCAAAGCUUCCUCCCCAUUUUGCCUCUCAUCUUCCGUUCCUAAUAUUUGCAUCCAGGUAAUGAACUCCUGAGGUCAGGGCACAUGUUACCUUGUCUGAAGGUCUCAGAGCAAAGCCUCUGAGUACGAAGACAGUACAAGAGCCCCAGCCUGGACUAGAUGAAGAGGGAGAGAGAAAGAAAAGGAAAAACAGGAAGAAGGAAGGAAGGGAGCAAGUGGGUGGGGGGAUGUGGAGAGAGAUAAAAGAAGGAAAGGAGCUUGAGAAUGGGGAGGAAAGCUAACAGAGCGAUGCUAAAGUUGGCCCGUGGUUUGAGGGUUGAAUCCUCAAGGCUUAUGCUGCCCUUGGAAGAUGUGCUGACCUUAGCGACCUGCCCCAUCCCACUUUGGGGAAACAAAGGAGCUAUCUAAUUGGCUUUAACUGGGUGGUUGCCGCUGGAGCACAUGGACAGGAUGGGGGAGCACAGGCCCAAGAGGCUGCAGACACACAACCACCCCAGGUCAACCUCCUCUAGAGGCUGAAUCUGAAGUCAUUUUGCCAAUUAAUCUCUGUGUGUGUGUGAGUUCUGUGAAAUACACUGCAGACCGAAAGUCCGCUUGCCCCAGGAAGGCAUGUCCUCGUUCUCUUUCAGCGUGCGAUGCUUUCUUUGGUUCCUCCAGCAUCUAUAAACCUCACACCAAGCUCUUUAUAGAUUAAUCCAACCCCUUCUGGCAUAGAGAAAUCCCUUGCCCUGGAAGGUAGCUUUCUGGGGCAGGGAUGGAGAUAAGUACGGCAAAGGAGGAAGAUUUUUCUUCUCACCAAGGAAGAAAAUGAAGAUGUCCUUCCCAGAACGCACCGGGCCUUAUCAUCACCCCUCUCUCACCUGCACACACACAGGCAGGCUAACCAAAGUGCCAGAAGAACCCUCCAGUGCAAAGGGUUCAUUUGACACAGAGAACAAACUGAGGCCCAAGGUCACAGAGCCAGAGCAUGGCAGAACAAAGCAGCCCAGGCUGCAGACAGAGGAGCAGGUCAGGAGACAGAGCCAGGGUGGGUCCGUGACUCACCCCUCUCGAAACUGCUUCUUCUGCUUCCAGCACUGCUUUGGGAGCCAGAUAUUGACCUGCAGAGCCUCAAGGCCAGCCCCAGGCAGGUGCGGCUGCACGACGAACUCCUCCAGCUCUGUCAGCUACUUCGGAGAGAAGUGAGUCGCAAGAGGCUGGCCUCCGCCUCCACCCCUCCUGUGGCGCCGGCCUGCAGCCUGCCUGGGGUGGGCACUGGAACCUGGGAGGUCAGGGUCACGGCAGCCAGGAUACCUGGGAGCCCCCGCCUCAGCCCCACUGGGCCUCUCCCCGCUCACCCUCCUCUCCGCGCCUUUCCUGCCGCUGUUCCUCCCGUCUAGACCCCCUUUCUGUUAACCCAGUUCCCCCUUCUUUCCUUUCUCUCUGUAUAUUUCUCAUUUUUCCUUCCUUCGUUUGCCUUCUUCCUGCCCUCCCUCCACUUUUUUCUCCUCUCUUCCUUCUUUCCUUCUUUCCUAGCUUUCCUCCUUUCCUACCCGUCUCUCUUUCUCCCAUUCAUUUCUCUUUUAUUUUUUUUAAAACUUCUUUCUUUUCCUUCCCUUUUCUUUUACUUUCUAGCUCCUUUCAUUCAUUUGCUUUUCUUUUCCUUCCUUCCUUUCUUUCCUUCUUUCUCUUAUUUCUCCUUUCUUUCCUUCUUUCUCU
Long non-coding RNA from Orcinus orca (killer whale), 16436 nucleotides. RefSeq lists it as uncharacterized. The record is from RefSeq and is a predicted model, not a curated record. NCBI's taxonomy places the organism in Eukaryota, Metazoa, Chordata, Mammalia, Artiodactyla, Delphinidae. The transcript has 4 exons.